UACGUAGGGUGCAAGCGUUGUCCGGAAUUAUUGGGCGUAAAGAGCUCGUAGGCGGUUCGUCGCGUCGGCUGUGAAAUCCCCAGGCUUAACCUGGGAACUGCAUCCGAUACUGGAUGGCUUGAAUCCGGGAGAGGGAUGCAGAAUUCCAGGUGUAGCGGUGAAAUGCGUAGAUAUCGGGAGGAACACCAGUGGCGAAGGCGAGUCUCUGGGCUGAUACCGACGCUGAGGCGCGAAAGCCAGGGGAGCAAACGGG
This 253-nucleotide ribosomal RNA is filed under the name uncultured bacterium. RNAcentral describes it as "partial 16S ribosomal RNA". It matches the Rfam family "Bacterial small subunit ribosomal RNA", at positions 524 to 776 of the family's 1533-position model. The record is from RNAcentral.